UGUUAAAAUUUUUAUUUAUUUGUAUUGUUAGCUAAUUGAAUAACUAGACAGUGACACAUGGCGUGUCACAUGUACCUUAUGUUGACGUACAUGGAUUAGUUUUUAACAGUAAAAAUGGAUGAAAUUUUUAACA
Molecule: non-coding RNA, 133 nt
Organism: Gossypium raimondii (Peruvian cotton)
Lineage: Eukaryota; Viridiplantae; Streptophyta; Magnoliopsida; Malvales; Malvaceae
Source: Rfam